This 381-nucleotide long non-coding RNA is filed under the name Linum usitatissimum (flax). Its description in RNAcentral is "long non-coding RNA (LUSI_LNC005704)". Lineage: Eukaryota; Viridiplantae; Streptophyta; Magnoliopsida; Malpighiales; Linaceae. The record is from RNAcentral.
GUUAAUUUGUUAUCCUAAAACAAUAUAUACCAUGUAAAUCCAUCAAUUCCUCUAUCAGCUGAUGUAAUGCUUUAAAAGUAUUAUAUAUGGACAAGCAAAGGGCGAACUGUGCUAAUUAGACUUGGUUGAGAAGAGACCAGUAAUACCUCAUUCAUCAGCCAGGUAUGACAUGAUUCGAGUAAAACACAUCGUUGUGAUCAUAGCCUAUCGUGGAUGCCGCAACUAAUUGCCUUACUCAAGUCCUUUUCUUCACAGAGGAUGAUUUCCACGAGUGUUUGUACCCACAUCCGGGAACACACCAACCUCGCUUCUACCCUAUACGUUCUCGGAUACUCCUCUUUACAUCUUUAGCCUUGUAGUGGCCACCUUGGCUUAUCCCAC